AUUGAACGCUGGCGGCAUGCCUUACACAUGCAAGUCGAACGGCAGCACGGGUGCUUGCACCUGGUGGCGAGUGGCGAACGGGUGAGUAAUACAUCGGAACAUGUCCUGUAGUGGGGGAUAGCCCGGCGAAAGCCGGAUUAAUACCGCAUACGAUCUACGGAUGAAAGCGGGGGACCUUCGGGCCUCGCGCUAUAGGGUUGGCCGAUGGCUGAUUAGCUAGUUGGUGGGGUAAAGGCCUACCAAGGCGACGAUCAGUAGCUGGUCUGAGAGGACGACCAGCCACACUGGGACUGAGACACGGCCCAGACUCCUACGGGAGGCAGCAGUGGGGAAUUUUGGACAAUGGGCGAAAGCCUGAUCCAGCAAUGCCGCGUGUGUGAAGAAGGCCUUCGGGUUGUAAAGCACUGUUGUCCGGAAAGAAAUCCUUGGCCCUAAUACGGUCGGGGGAUGACGGUACCGGAAGAAUAAGCACCGGCUAACUACGUG
Molecule: ribosomal RNA, 486 nt
Filed under: uncultured bacterium
Lineage: Bacteria
Description: partial 16S ribosomal RNA
Rfam family: Bacterial small subunit ribosomal RNA
Source: RNAcentral